RNAcentral lists this ribosomal RNA (450 nucleotides) under uncultured bacterium. RNAcentral describes it as "partial 16S ribosomal RNA". It matches the Rfam family "Bacterial small subunit ribosomal RNA", at positions 354 to 796 of the family's 1533-position model. The record is from RNAcentral.
GUGGGGAAUCUUCCGCAAUGGACGAAAGUCUGACGGAGCAACGCCGCGUGAACGAUGACGGCCUUCGGGUUGUAAAGUUCUGUUAUACGGGACGAAUGGUACGACGGCCAAUACCCGUCGUAAGUGACGGUACCGUAAGAGAAAGCCACGGCUAACUACGUGCCAGCAGCCGCGGUAAUACGUAGGUGGCAAGCGUUGUCCGGAAUUAUUGGGCGUAAAGGGCGCGCAGGCGGCGUCGUAAGUCGGUCUUAAAAGUGCGGGGCUUAACCCCGUGAGGGGACCAAAACUGCGAUGCUAGAGUAUCGGAGAGGAAAGCGGAAUUCCUAGUGUAGCGGUGAAAUGCGUAGAUAUUAGGAGGAACACCAGUGGCGAAAGCGGCUUUCUGGACGACAACUGACGCUGAGGCGCGAAAGCCAGGGGAGCAAACGGGAUUAGAAACCCGAGUAGUCC